This 4102-nucleotide long non-coding RNA is filed under the name Nicotiana tabacum (common tobacco). RNAcentral's name for it is "long non-coding RNA (NTAB_LNC010453)". The record is from RNAcentral. Lineage: Eukaryota; Viridiplantae; Streptophyta; Magnoliopsida; Solanales; Solanaceae.
ACUUGUAUCUUCUUAUAAAAUAUUUAUUGAAGUAGAUUAAAUUUUAGCCUUUUCUUAGCCCAAUUUUAUAGAAUUUUUAGUCCAAGUUGAAUUCUUGCAAGAAGAUAACCCAAUUUUAGCAAGCCCAAAUCUUCCCAACCCAUGUAACCCAUGACCCGCGCCCAAAAACCCAUCCAAACCCAUCAGAUUUUUUGAACUAAAAACAAAACUCUAGGCGACUCUAUCUUCUUCUUCAUGAAGACAACAUGAAAGAACCCUAACCACUCCUUUUUCUUCAACACACACAAGACAAGAACCCUAGAACCCUUGGACAAUCGCCGCCGGAGACCCCAUUGUCCCUCCACGAGCUGCUAGAACAGCAGUGUCGAACACAAUCUUGAAAUCCCUCUUAUUCUUCUUCUCCCAAGCUCCAGAUGCCCAAACUCUAUCAACCAAGAAUACACAGUCGCCAGCCACCUCAUCCAUCUCCAUCUCCCAACCACAGUAGCAACAUACACACACAUAGGAAUAGGGAACAUAAAGAAGAGGGAAAAAUGAAACAGUGACACGAUACAUUAUCUACAUAAUUUUAACUUUGAAUUACAUACAUCUACACACAUACUCAUUAUACACAUACACACAGAGGGACGUAGGAACAGACAGAAGGGAGAACGAUAGAAAUUGAGGAAAUCCUUAGCGACGGAAGAAGGCAGCUCCGUCCCUGUCACUCUCUCGCAGCCCAUUUUUUUAUUCUUCCGUCAUCACCUCUAUUUCUGGGUUACUCUUUGAUUUUCAGCGUACCUUAUGGUUCAAGUAGAGAUUGAGUCCAGUUCGUCGGAUUCCGGAUCUCGUCGAUUAUUUGGUUUUCCGGUGAGGAUUCAAUUCAUUGAUGUCGUUCGAGGUUAUUUCUGUGGUCCGCAGAUCAAUCUCCUGCUGCUAUUGCAUUUUUAAAGUCAGAUUUCAAUCGUCGGGUUCGCUGUAAUUAAAUUCUCGUUAACGGAAAGAAAAUCUUGCUCAGAUGGUCAAAACUGCUCGAAAUGGGUCGUGUGGAUCAAACUAAGAAGAGACAAGCAUUUGGAAACAACUUUUUGAGCAUGAAACUAUUUUUCCUAAAAGAGACUUUGUAGUCAAAUUGCCAAGUAAGCCAGCAUCAUACUUUGAUCUAUUUUUAUAUGUAUUUAUGUUAUUUCUCGUAUCUCUUUUCUUUGUUUGUUGAUCAGAGGCAUCAUCUUUUAUUUGGAUUUAUCAAAUGUUUUUGUUGCUUUUAUUUAUUGCUUAUCGCUAGUAGUAUGUUUAGGACGUUAAUGUUCGGGUAGGCGAAUAUAUUAGGAUUUUCCUUUCCUUUUCUUUUAUAUGAGGUGAGAAGUCGCCCCUUUUAGUUAAAUUUGUUCGGGGAAUGCCCCGAAUGAUUUGUAAAUAUUCUAUUCCUGGGAAUGCCUCGAAGAACUUUGUAAAUAUUUUGGAAGCCCUGACGAGCAUUGAGGAGGCGCAUAUAGGUUUGUAGUAUUUUAUUUUUAUGUCAUUUUAUUUUAUUAGGCCGGGACGACCUCGAGCCUCGUGUGUUUAUUUUUCUUUUAUGUGUUUAUUAAUAUUUUAAAAGCCAACUAGAUCGAGUACACAACCGUGACCUUCACAGGACUCGGGGAAUGCCUAACACCUUCUCCCCAAGUCAAUUGAACCCCCUUACCCAAAUUUAUGGUACAGACUUAGUUUUGGAGUCCAAAGUGUUUUAAAAGGAAAAAUUAUUUUUUUUUUAAAAAAAUGGUGACCUGACACACCGAAUCAUGCGUCAAACUAAAUUGACCUUAGACUUGUGAUGAAAUCCUAAUCUGAAGCCCUAAAUACAAAAACAAAACAAAUGACACACAAAACCUAAAACGCAACUAAACAGAAUUGAAAUUAUGAUGAGCAAACCAAGAGAAGGAAGGGGAAAAGAAAAGAGAAAAACAAAUAGAAUUAAAGCAAAGAAAAUUACCUAUGUUUGUUCCAAACUGGACCCACUAUGAGCUUCAUCAAACUUAUCAAGGCAGAAAUGAACUUGAACUACCAUUAAUCGGCUGUUCUUAACAAGAACAAUCGACUAAUGGAUGUUUUGGGUUCACUUGACUAAUCAAUCGAACGAAAAAUCAGAAAAGGAGAAAUCAGGGCUCAAAGAAUCUGAGAUUUAAAAUCUGAGGAGUUUGGCUAUGAUUUUUGGGCAAUCAAUAGUGAGACAGUGGUGAGGGAAGGCUGGGAGUUAUAUGGUGUGAAUUUGGAGUCGUUUGGGUGAUUUAGGGUUUUGGGGGUUCCGAAUUUAGAUCUAAAAUUUGAGGUGCUUGGUGACGAUUUGAGGGAAGCCGUUUUGGGAUUCGAAAAGAGGAGAGGACGGGGAUUAUAUGGUGUAAUUUUGGUGGUAUUUGGAGGUGGUCCGUCGCCGUGGGCGAUUUCCGGCGGGUGAUCGACGGCGGAGACGGCGAAGUAUAAGACGACAGCUAAGGUUUGGUGUUUCUGAGUUUGAGAGAUGGAGAGUGAGCUGGGGUUUCAAGGUUUGGGGGGUGAACCGUUUUAGGACAAUUAAAUACUAAGGGAGUCCUUAGUUCCGGGCCAUUGGAUUAUCAAAAUCCAACUGUUGUGAUGAUAAAGGGAUGAAACAGGGUCGUUUUGGUUGGGGCAAGGCUGGAACGGGUAUUUGAUUUGGGCUUGGAUUUUGGGGCGGGUUUUUGGUGUGUUUGGGACAUAUUUGGGCAAAAUGUUUGGGCUUCAGCUCUUUGGCCCAAUUAAAACAAACCCCUUCUUCCAAUUCUCUUUUAUUACCUUUUUCUUUUUCUUUUUGUUUUUCUUUUCUUUUUUCUUUAAUCAAAAACCUAAAUUAAAAUCCUAAAUUAAUCUAAACUAUAAAACUAACCAAUUUCCUAAAAAUUAUAAAAAUUCCUAAAUCCUAAAUCAAAAAGAAAAAUCAAUAAUCUAGCAAUUAAAAGGUAAACAUGUAAAAUGGACCAUUUUUGUAAUUUUUAUUUUUAAUGGAACAAAUAAUUAACUAAUUAAUCCUAAAAAUGUAAAAAUAAAACCUAAAUGCAAUCCAUGGUAUUUUGGCAUUUUUCACGAUUUUUAAUGAAAAUUAAACGUGCACAAAAAUGCAAACAAUUAAUAAAAUCAUACAAAAAUCCUAUCAAAUGGCAAAUAAUUAGAAAAAAAACUAUUUACUUGGAUUUUAUAAGAGUAAUUCAAAUAGGGCAAAAAUUACGUACUCACACUAUGUAUUUUGCUUAUAAUAUAUAUACAGAAUAUAUAAGUGGCCCCCUAAACUUGGCCAUCUUUUUCAUUUGGACACUUAAACAUAUAGUAGUUUCUAUUGGGCACUUUAAGUGAAGACAAAUUGUGCCAGUUAGACACAUAUUUUGUUGCUCCAAACAAACUAAAACGUGUGUAUUUCACUUGCUGCCAACAUGACAAAGUAGGACCAAUAAGAAAAAAAAACAUGUCACUAAAGAAAAAAAGCCAAAUUUGAAGGACCCUUGGAGAUGAAAACUCAUCACUUUCUCCACCCACUAUUUUGUCGUCAAUGAACACUGUCGGAACUAUUGGAUUGCAACUGAGACUUGAAAGCUCGUAUUAUCACCAUUAUCUUUUCAGCUACAUCCUUUGCAACUUUCAGCAAGCAAACGGAUUUGCCACCCGUACUAGCAGCACCCAAACCCACCACCGCAGUAGUCCCUCACUAGAAAGCUGCUCUAAUAGCCUUGUCCUCUUCAUCUUCAAAACCAGCAAAAGCCACUUCCAUCACCGCUUACAAUUGUCCUUCGAUGGCGACCAUUAGGUCCUUAGGUGGGUUUUUGUCCGGGCUUUAGCUUCGCAGUGGUGGCGAUGCGGCAAGCAACGCUUCUUUCAUUCUUAAUUGACCAUUUUCCUAUUGAAUAUGAAGUGUAUUUUUAAAAAGAUUUCCGGUAUUGACUAUAAUUUUUGGUUACUGGAAUUGAAUUUGAAAGGUAGAGAGUGAUUAGCAUGGCAGUGUAGGAAGCGUGGUGAUACUGAAGCAACUGUUAUAGUGGUGGAGAUGGUGGCGGCACAAAGGAAGAAGAAAGAGAUUGAAAGAAAAUAUUGAAGAAAAAAGAAUCUACUUCUUCUCACGCGCUCAACACAAGNN